Molecule: non-coding RNA, 606 nt
Organism: Pelobates cultripes (western spadefoot toad)
Lineage: Eukaryota; Metazoa; Chordata; Amphibia; Anura; Pelobatidae
Source: the annotation of a GenBank genome assembly
CUCCAUUUGGUGCAAGUAGAACAUGAAAUAGAUUUAUAUUGUAUCUGGUAUAGUGCUAUGUUUAGGUAUGUGGGAUUCCAUUGGCAUGUUGGAGUCUGGGGUAAUAUGAUAACAAGAUAGCAAUGGGAUUCUGGGAUUGCAAAAGGAGGGGGCGCUGUAUAAUAGUGGGGAUACCCUUAUCUAGCUCCAAUGAAUGUAUUGUACCGUUGAGAGGAAAAGUUGCAGAUCUACUUAGAAGCCCACAGAACCAAGGACCACUGGGAAAUCUACAUAUGCAGAAUAAGGGCUCAACUAAAUUUAAAACAAGCAAACAGAAAACGAGCUUCAGUGUGUGGGGAGGAUGGACAGAAAGAAUACAGACUCCCCACACACUAUCUACCCCCUGUCAUUCUCAUCCACCACACUCACUACUCAUCCAAGUCACAGUAACCCUAUGCCACUUAUUUUGUCAGUCACUUGACGCAGUCACUCUUAUACACACACAGUCACCCCUCAUACCCAACAAAGCCUCACCAUAAACAUAACGCACACAUCAAGAACACAAGCAGCUCCCCACACACACAUAUGCUCCCAGAUACAGAGACAUACAUGCUCACAGACACAGAG